This is a ribosomal RNA of 436 nucleotides. It matches the Rfam family "Bacterial small subunit ribosomal RNA", at positions 341 to 792 of the family's 1533-position model.
ACGGGAGGCAGCAGUGGGGAAUAUUGGGCAAUGGGCGAAAGCCUGACCCAGCGACGCCGCGUGAAGGAAGACGGUCCUCGGAUUGUAAACUUCUUUUAUAAGGGACGAAUAGAUGACGGUACCUUAUGAAUAAGCCACGGCUAACUACGUGCCAGCAGCCGCGGUAAUACGUAGGUGGCGAGCGUUAUCCGGAUUUACUGGGUGUAAAGGGUGUGUAGGCGGGACUGCAAGUCAGAUGUGAAAAUCAUGGGCUCAACUCAUGACCUGCAUUUGAAACUGUGGUUCUUGAGGGUCGGAGAGGUAACUGGGAUUCCUGGUGUAGCGGUGGAAUGCGUAGAUAUCAGGAGGAACACCGGUGGCGAAGGCGGGUUACUGGACGAUUACUGACGCUGAGACACGAAAGCGUGGGGAGCAAACAGGAUUAGAUACCCUGGUA